This is a long non-coding RNA of Pyrus x bretschneideri (Chinese white pear), 548 nucleotides long. RefSeq lists it as uncharacterized. The record is from RefSeq and is a predicted model, not a curated record. NCBI's taxonomy places the organism in Eukaryota, Viridiplantae, Streptophyta, Magnoliopsida, Rosales, Rosaceae. The transcript is spliced from 2 exons.
CUCUCUCUCUCUCCCGAGUUCCCUUUCUUCUUCCUCUUCCUUUGAACUGGUACGGACACACACACAACUACACUAUUUCACCACAGAUCGAAGAAUCUAAGAUCACAGUCGAGAUCGUGAGGUCGAGGGGAGCACGAUCAUACCAUUUUCAGCUUGUAGUUGUGUUAGUGAGGUCCCAAGGAGCCUCGGAGUGCAUCGUUGGACGGAAGUGGACGUCAGAAUAGCUUGGUUCGAGCUUGGCCGGUUAUGGAGUUUUUGGACAGGUGACAUGUAUCCCGAGGACGAGCGUGCUCACGCGAGGCAGGGGGGCUACGACCCUUCCACGUAUCAGUUUUAGCUAGCUAGCAGGUUCGGUGGUUUCCCAGAGGGCUUCCCGGCGCUUCUGACAGACACGCACCAAUGUAGGGUCACUUCGGGUGCACUGUUAUCGUAUUAUGUUAAUUUGGACUGCUGUAGACUUAAUGCUCUGAACUUAGCGGUUCACUCGCACUAGCACUCUUUACUUUGACCUUAUGUAUGCUAGUUUUUAAUUAAUCGUACUUUUAUAU